GGAAGAUAGAAAAGAAAAGCAAAUAUAUAUAUUUGCUGGCUUUGGACUUUUCUUUUAAGGUUCUCUUUUCCAUUUCUUUUCCACCACCUCUCUCAUUGCUUUCUUCCCUUUUCUUCUAAACCCUAAUCUCAUCUCAAUUACGGAUCUUAAUCUUAUAUUGUCUCUGCUUUAAUCGCAUAAAAAAUCACGCUUUUUUCUCUAUCUUUUUCUCUUUUAUAUUCAGGUUUCUUUUCAAAAAAGAAAUAAGGAUCAAUGUCUUUUGCACGGAAUUGCCGUAUGCAAGGGGGCAUUUUUCAGGAUGAUUACCAGUACCCUUUUGAUAGAAAUAAUUACAACAAUAACAGUUCCAAUAACUACAGGAACAGGAACUGGAAUUGGAAUAGCAAUCUUACCAGGAAUUGUAACUAUGCCCACGAAUUCUUUGGGCAGUUUGGGGAGCAUAAUAGAGGUUAUUAUCAUGCACAGCCGAAUUGUGCUCCUUUGAAAAGAAGAAAGUUUUCAGCUGCUACUUGGGGAGAUAAUGGGAGACACUAUCCGCCAUCUAACAUGCAUCACAGAACUGCUCCAUUGGACUCCUGCAAUUUUGUUCCUCCUUCUAUAAGAUUGAAUGCUGAAGCCUCUACAUCUGUCAGCAGUAAAUGUGGUCGGUCACAAUUGGAGGAUGAUGAACAUGGUUUUAUGUCUAGGGAUGAGAUUGAGAGAUAUUCACCUUCAAGAAGAGAUGGUAUUGAUGCCCUUUGCGAAACACAUCUGCGCUAUUCCUAUUGUGCCUUCAUUCAGAAUCUCGGUUUGCAGCUUGAUUUGCCGCAAACUACUAUUGGCACUGCCAUGGUUCUGUGUCAUCGGUUUUUUGUCCGAAGAUCACAUGCUUGCCAUGAUAGAUUUUUGAUUGCUACUGCUGCUCUUUUCCUUGCUGCAAAGUCCGAGGAGACACCUCGCCCUUUGAACAAUGUGUUGAGAGCAUCUUCUGAGAUUUUCCAUAAGCAGAAUGUUACAUUCUUAUCCCAUCUGCUCUCAGUUGAUUGGUUUGAGCAGUAUCGGGAACGUGUGAUUGAGGCAGAGCAAAUGAUAUUGACUACUUUAAACUUUGAACUUAACGUGCAGCAUCCAUAUGCUCCUCUUACAUCUAUUCUUAACAAAUUGGGCCUUUCACAAACUGUCUUGGUGAACCUGGCAUUAAACUUGGUCAGUGAAGGGUACCAUUUUGCUUUGGUUAUUUUGUUUUGAUGUUUGUAUUAUUCUGAGUAGUCUAAGAAUAACGCUCAUAGAUUGGGAUGUGUUCUUGUGGCUAUGAUUGAGUAGCUGCUUUAUACACUUGGAGUAAUGGUUGUUCCAAUGCCUUCAAUUAGCGGACUUUAAGGGGUUUUAACUUUCAACUUUAAUUGGAUUUUGGGUGGGGUGGGUCCCAUGUCGUCCCUAUGAAUUAGUUCAAAAAAUGAGUUCAGGUAUGAAGAAGGUUUUGAAGGUUAUCUUCUUCCAUCUUGUCCAAAAAUGUACUUCUGUCCAUAAUUUUCUUCUUUAGCCCAGCUACUCCCACAUAGUUAUUCUGGUAUGGCAUAUUGAUUAUUUUGGCAUGGCAUGUAAUUGCAGGAUCUUUUCAAGAUUAGCAUGCUCGCCUAUGUGAUAUUGUUAGCUGGCAGAUUGAUGAGCUGUUCAUGUAAAAUUUUGUUUUUACAUCUGAAGUUGAACUGCUGAUGUUUUUGGUUCUCUUUCCUAUGAUUUUACCCAUCAACUUGGUUAUGGCUAUGACAGCCACAGAACCUACAGAAACUAGUCUUGUUAUUUUACUUUUAACACCUUUCAUUUUUUGAGUUUCAGUUUAUUUGGAAUCACAAUCACUUCUCUGGAGUCCAUGCACAAACUUUGAGUUUGUGAAAUCUGGCUGCCUCCCAGUUUGUUUCCAUUCCACACUGAUCUGAAGAAAAAUUAUUGACUUGGAAGGUUCAAUAGUGGGGUUUUUCCCUCCUUUUUUCUUUUUAAAAAGAAUAAUAUAAACAAUGUGUUGGUCUGGUGAUGAUUUUCCAAGUUAUGAAGUCAUGGUUUGUUAUUAGCCUACCUUUUUCCUCUUAAGUAAAGGCUUUUUGGUUUUGCCAAAAUUCUUUUUUUGAUUCACUAAUUUGUCUACUUCUUAGAACAAUUUUCAAAUGAGGAGCUCUGGUUUGAUUUUGCCAAUGGCAAUGUCUUUCUAAUGAGAGUUAAAACCUCUUUUCAAGGGUUGCUUAUUAUUUAAAAAGUUUUCCUUUUUGAUUUGAUUACCAGCUCGAUGAGUAUCCUAUGUCUAGGCUUCAUUCCUUUCAAAUUUAGAGUCUACUUAUAGUUUUUGGAUUGUAAACUAGCUUGCAGUACCAGUCAUUUGGGAUGGUUUAGUUGCAAAAAAUAAAUUGAUCUGGUAGCAUGGCAUGAAGUAACUAAUUCCUAAAUAUAAUGGAAAGGCAUAAACAUGCAUGGCAUAAUGCAACCAAUUCCAAAAUAUAAUGAAAAGGCAUAAACAUGCAUGUCCAAGUCUAUUUGUCUUUGUUCUAUUAGAACCCAGUGAUUCUCAUUUAGGUUUACACCAUUCCUUUUGACCUGUUUCUAAACCUUGAAUUGAGUCAUAUCUUGUGGUUGAAUUCUUGGUGUUGCUAAAUAUAAGCGUUUGUUUGGCUUUUGGAAAGAUACUUGUUUUUGGACAAUAUUGUUAGUUUGACGUCUAUUGUCUUUCCUUCUUUCCCCUUAUUGAAACAUUUCAGUUGUAUUAUUCUCCUCAAUGAUUUAUCUUUUUUUGUCUCUCAGCUAAAAUGAUUUGUUUCUAUUAGUUUUAGUUUAAAGACAGUUAAUUUGUGUUUCAAACUGAAUUUUGUCAUUUCAUUUAAGUUUCUUCAUCUAUCUAUUAUACUAUCUUCAGAUAAUGUCAACCCUGCUCUAUGCGGGUGGUCAACUCAUUUUUAUGUCUAUUACACAAUUAUGUAAAUACUUAACCUAAUACUGUAAUGUGUACAUAUAUUUAGGUAUAUAUUAUUUGCUAGAAGAUUGAGAAAAAUACAAAGAUGAAAUGAAAGAUGCCUUGUCCUUGCAGGAUAUCCAAAAGAAAUCUGUGAAUAAAUCCAAACUUCUUUAAUGCUAGUUUAUAUCUUGCAUCUGUUGAAGGCGGUUGUGUAUGCUUGAUAAGCAUGAAUGGCUUUAUUGCUUAGAGCACUUGGGUAAAUACUGGAUUUAUGACAACUUUUUAACUAAAGUUGUUGACAUUAUGAAGCAAUAGUUAUCAAUACUGAAAAAUGUUACCCUGUAAUUAGGGUGAACUAGAAUGGGUUCAGUCAAAAGGGCAUAUACGCACUUGGGUCUUUACAGUCAAUUGGAAUAGACAGUAUGAAGCCUAUCUCAAUUGCUGUGCCACUAGGCAGUCUGAGUUCUUUAAUUUCUUUUUGAAUCAGGCUUGGACCGGUAAUCUUGUUGGGCCUGGGUCAUGUGAUUAUUUAAUGCAUGGUGCUGGUUCAAGACAUGGCAUAGUCUUCUACUGCCUGAUGUUUUGUGGAAGAAUGUUUUUCCAGCCGGAGAUGAUAAUUAUUGAAAGUUCUGUGCAUCAGAUCUGUUCAAAAAUUAUUUAUCCUUGUCCUUGUUGGUCCUACCACUUUCAUGCCAAGCUAGGGGCUUUAUAGGGCCAAAUUAUGAAGAAAAAUAAAUUUAUGGAAAUUAUAUAUAUAUAUAUAUAUACAUAAAUAUAUAUAUGUUAUGUUAUGUAUGUGUGCCCGCAUGUGCGUACACGUGCUUUGUAUUUUUCCCCCAUUAUCAACUAUUUAUUACUAUAUCUAUAGUUGCUGCCCCACUGCCCUCGUUGCAUUUACAACCCACUAAUUCUUCACAUUUUAACUUUUUUUGAAAAGUUGAUUAUUUUUAACAUUAUCUUUUUGGUUUUUUUUUUUUUGUUUUUGAGCUUUGGUUUAUUAACAAAGGGCAUCUGUAUAUAAUAUUUUAUACUGGUUUAUGAGUUACUAUCUGUACAACAAUAAUACAGCAUUAUGUUGUACCUUAUGUUAUAUUGAGUAGAUUACAAAUAUCGCUCAUAGCUUAAUUCUUGCCUGCCUUAGUUCUAUAUAAUUGUGGUACCAUGCGUUCUCCAUGAGUGGUGAGGCUUUCUUGUUGAUUCAGAUAACUGAGCUGAAGAGACUUGCUUUGAAAUCUACAUUGCGCUGCUACCUCUGUUUAUUUUAUGUUUGAUAUGACUAUAUUACUGGAGUUAAAAGCACAGCAGAUUGGGCUGGAAUUGAUUUGUUCUCUAGGUGGGUAUAACAUGUUUGCUAUAGUUGUCGUACUCUAUCAACCAUGGUGCAGAGAUUCUUGGAAAAUAUUCUACCUGGAUUGAUGCCAUUAGUUGGCUCAGGAGCUCAUUGUGGCUACAAUUUAAACCUCAUCACAUUGCUGCUGGAGCUGCUUAUCUUGCGGCCAAGUUUCUAAGUUUUGAUCUUGCUUCUUACCAUGAUAUCUGGCAAGAA
Molecule: non-coding RNA, 4469 nt
Organism: Durio zibethinus
Lineage: Eukaryota; Viridiplantae; Streptophyta; Magnoliopsida; Malvales; Malvaceae
Source: RefSeq, a predicted model, not a curated record